This 3778-nucleotide long non-coding RNA is filed under the name Sorghum bicolor (sorghum). RNAcentral describes it as "long non-coding RNA (SBIC_LNC000295)". The record is from RNAcentral. Lineage: Eukaryota; Viridiplantae; Streptophyta; Magnoliopsida; Poales; Poaceae.
GCGCAAAGAGUUUGUCGUCCAUGGCUGGCGGCGGCGAGCCGUCGCGGUCUGCCUCCACCAUCGUCGCCAACACCGCGAGUGGGUACCACAUCCUCAGGAUCGAUGGAUACUCCCGCACCUUGGCGACUCCCACAGGAGAGUACAUCGCGUCCCUCCCGUUCACCGUGGGCGGCCUUCGCUGGCACAUUCGCUACUACCCCAACGGUAACAAGUCAGAGGACAAAGAUGGCAUCUCGCUUUUUCUUUAUCUCCACGACAGCGUCGCCAAGCCAGUGAAAGCGCAGUUCGGCUUCCGUUUCGUCGGCGACGUGGCGGAGCAGCCGUUGACACUGGGAGGAAUGCAUAUCUACGAUAACCAGAGUGCUUGGGGACGCCCCCAGUUCAUCAAAAGGGAAGUUUUUGAAGCGUCGAAGCAUCUGCUUGAUGAUUCUUUUGCCAUUCGGUGCGAUGUGGUCGUCACCACGGAAUUCCGGACGGAGGAGGCGCCGGAAGCCACCACUCCGGCCGAUAGUAUCUCCGUGCCCCCAUCUGACCUGCACCAGCAUCUUGGCGGCCUCCUGUUGAACGAAAAGGGCGCUGAUGUGGUGUUCGACGUCGCCGGUGAGACGUUCGCUGCACACCGGUGCGUGCUCGCAGCCCGUUCGCCUGUCUUCAGUGCAGAGCUCUUUGGUGCGAUGAAAGAGAGCAACGCCGGAGGUGGUGUGGUGCACAUAGAGGACAUGGAACCUCGGGUGGGCUUUGCUCUACUUUGUUUACACCGACUUACUCCCAAACACAAAGACAGCGAAAGAAGUGGAAGAGGCAGAUGUUGUAGAUGAUGACGAUGACGAAGAAGGCGUUUUUUCUCAGCACCUACUGACAAGAGAAGUGGAAGAGGGAGGCAUAGAUGAUGACGAUGAUGAAGACGUUUUGUCUCAACACCUCCUGGUGGCUGCAGACAAAUACAACUUGGAGAGGCUGAAAUUGUUAUGUGAAAGCAAGCUGUGUGAGUACAUCGAUGUGGGCACGGUAGCAACCAUACUGGCACUAGCCGAGCAACACCAUUGCCAUGAACUGAAGAAGGCGUGCUUCCAUUUUCUCAGCUCUCCUGCAAAUCUGAGGGCAGUUGUGGCCAGCGAUGGCUUUAAGCAUCUAAGCAGAAGCUGCCCCUCUGUUAUGGAGGAGUUGGUUGCCAUGCUCGGCAACUUAGUUCCAUGAUGCCUGGACUCGUUCUUAGCAACUGCAGUUGAUUGAAUUUCUGGGUCAGCUUCUAUUGUAGUCAAGUAGUUGUGAAUCCUAAGUUGCCAAAGUGUCAAGGAGAUCCUGAAGUAGUUUAAUUUCUUAGUGAUUUUCUGUUUAACUCUGACAAUCAACGAAUGAUUUCUUAUCUGCUAGCUUUGAAUCUCCACUAAGUCUUUCUAUGUGCUUGGCAUAUAGUAAUUUUCAGAAGUUGGAAUGCAAUAGUUCUUGUUACCUAGAACUCGAUUACUUCUCUGCUCGUUAAUCACGAUGCAUAUAUGCAUUGUUGUCAUGAUAUAUAUACACAGUAUCAUGUUGAAGUCGGUUCUUUUGUCCUUCAAGUCUAGGUUGGCUAAGCUGCUGAAAUAUCCCGCCCAGUCGAGGUUGUUAGGUGGCUUUGAAAAAUGCUAGUUGAUGGUUCCCACUUUCAGUUGAUGAUUUUCUGGGUCGGCUUCUAUUGUCAAGUGGCUUUGGAAAAUGCUAAUUGAUGUUUCCCACUUUCAAUAGUUGUGAAUCCCAACUCCUAAUUGGCAAGGAGAUCCUAAAAUAGUGUAAUUUGUUAAGUGUUUUUGUUAGUUGACUGCGUCUGUGCAACUCUACCAGUUCGUAACAGAUGAUUUUGUUAUCUGCUAGCUUUGAAUCUCCACUAGAAGUUCGUCUAUGUGCUUGACAUAUGAUGAUUCUCAGAAGUUGGACUGCAAUAGUUCUUUCUCUAAUUAAGUUAUAUGUUACCUUGAACUCUUUUACUUCUCUGCUCGUUAAUCCAGAUGCAUAUAUAUAUAUAUAUAUAUAUAUAUAUAUAUAUAUAUAUAUAUAUAUAUAUAUAUAUAUAUAUACAAGUGCUAUUCUACAUCCUAGGUGUAGAAUAUUAUUCUACACCAAAUUGUAUACUGAACAAAAUUCAGUAUCGUUCAGUACUUAUGUUUCAGUAUUUUUGUUCAGUAUUUUAUGGUCUUAGGUGUAGUAGUAAGUGAUACUGAACGCGGUUCAGUAGUACUCAGUAUUUUUUCUGCUCAGUUUUGACUUGUGGUGUAGAAUAAUAUUCUACACCUAGGGUGUAGAAUAGCGCUACCGUAUAUAUAUAUAUAUAUAUAUAUAUAUAUAUAUAUAUAUAUAUAAACUACAUUGUGUAUGUAUUCAUACUUGUUUAUCAGUUUGAGUAUGUUUAUAUACUCAUAUUAAGAUACUCAGGAUCUUACCACGCGAAAAUUUUUCAAAAAAAAUUAUAUUUUAAAUAUAUUACUAAAAUGCCACUACUAUAUUAUAUACAAUAAGUAUAACCAUAUACUCUAUGUAUGUAUGCAUACUUAACAUACAUAUCACUUUAGAUGGUCUAGUAUGAUCAUAUACUUUGUCUAUAUAUAUUUCGUCCGGUCAUAUACACCUUAAAUCUAGAGAUACAUAGAUGAGAGUAACUACACGCGCGUGUAAAAGAAACGCGUCAUAUAUAUAUAUAUAUAUAUAUAUAUAAUGAUGUCAGAGCAUUAGAUAUACACCCUUCAUAUCAAAUUAUAAGGCAUUCUAAGAAUUUUGGAGAGUCAGCAUUUAAGUUUGACCAAAAUUACAGAAAGAUAUGAGAUCAAGUGGAUAUGUUAUGAAAAUAUAAUCAAUGAAGAACCUAAUGAUACUUAGUUGGUAUCAUAAAUAUUAAUAUUUUAUUAUAUAAAUUUGGUCAAACUUGAGAUGCUUUGACUAUUCAAUAUUCUUGGAAUGACUUAUAGUUGGGAUGGAGGGAGUACAUUAUAUCACGCUGAAGUUGGUUGUUUUUGUCCUUCAGUCAUGGUUGCCUAUGGAGAUGGAGAUCACUAAUUUUGCUGCAACAUCUUUGCUUUUGAUGCAUUUCUGAUUUUAACACUGAACAUGCUAUUCCCUUCAGUCAUGGUUGCCUAUGGAGAUGAAGAUCACUAAUUUUGCUGCAACAUCUUUGCUUUUGAUGCAUUUCUGAUUUUAACACUGAACAUGCUAUUCCCGAGUCAGCUAGACGAUCUGGACGGAACAGAGGACAGUGCGAGCCUGAUCGGCGUGGCCCAUCUUUCGGUCCGAAUAAUACAAACUGGGCUGCUCUUAUGUAAAUCGGCCUAGAAAAAAAGAGCCCAACAGGCAACAGCAGCGGUAGGAAGCAAGUCAAGCCGGCGACGACCCAUCGCCUCCUUCGCCGUCCGGUCUUCCCCUUUCCGCGCCGCCGGUUCGUGCCAAACCCUACUCCCUCCACAAUGCAGUGGCGCCUAAGCUGAAAUCAGUGAAUCGUGCGCCGCGGCGAAGAGAGAACUCAACAGGAUUUGUGGGGAAGGAGGGGAGCAGGGUCAGAGACCGAUAGAGAUCAUCAGGUUUGACGUGUCCUCCAUGGCUGGCGGCGGCGAGCCGUCGCGGUCUGCCUCCACCAUAGUCGCCAACACCGCGAGUGGGUACCACAUCCUCAGGAUCGAUGGAUACUCCCGCACCUUGGCGACUCCCACAGGAGAGUACAUCGCGUCCCUCCCGUUCACCGUGGGCGGCCUUCGCUGGCACAUUCGCUACUACCCCAACGGUAACAAGUCAGAGGACAAAGAUGGCAUCUCGC